GCGGAGGAAAAGAAACCAACAGGGAUUGCCCUAGUAACGGCGAGUGAAGCGGCAACAGCUCAAAUUUGAAAUCUGGCUCUCUUUGGGGGUCCGAGUUGUAAUUUGCAGAGGAUGCUUUGGCAUUGGCGGCGGUCUAAGUUCCUUGGAACAGGACAUCACAGAGGGUGAGAAUCCCGUACGUGGUCGCCUGCCUUUGCCGUGUAAAGCUCCUUCGACGAGUCGAGUUGUUUGGGAAUGCAGCUCUAAAUGGGAGGUAAAUUUCUUCUAAAGCUAAAUACCGGCCAGAGACCGAUAGCGCACAAGUAGAGUGAUCGAAAGAUGAAAAGUACUUUGGAAAGAGAGUCAAAAAGCACGUGAAAUUGUUGAAAGGGAAGCGCUUGCAGCCAGACUUGCCCGCAGUUGCUCACCUAGGCUUUGGCCUGGGGCACUCUUCUGCGGGCAGGCCAGCAUCAGUUUGGGCGGUUGGAUAAAGGCCUCUGUCACGUAUCUUCCUUCGGGAUGACCUUAUAGGGGAGGCGUAAUGCAACCAGCCCGGACUGAGGUCCGCGCAUCUGCUAGGAUGCUGGCGUAAUGGCUGUAAGCGGCCCGUCUUGAAACACGGACCAAGGAGUCUAACAUCUAUGCGAGUGUUUGGGUGUCAAGCCCGGGCGCGCAAUGAAAGUGAACGGAGGUGGGAACCCUUUGGGUGCACCAUCGACCGAUCCUGAUGUCUUCGGAUGGAUUUGAGUAAGAGCAUAGCUGUUGGGACCCGAAAGAUGGUGAACUAUGCUUGAAUAGGGUGAAGCCAGAGGAAACUCUGGUGGAGGCUCGCAGCGGUUCUGACGUGCAAAUCGAUCGUC
RNAcentral lists this small RNA (839 nucleotides) under Paraconiothyrium brasiliense. RNAcentral describes it as "eukaryotic LSU rRNA". It matches the Rfam family "Eukaryotic large subunit ribosomal RNA", at positions 50 to 906 of the family's 3401-position model. Lineage: Eukaryota; Fungi; Ascomycota; Dothideomycetes; Pleosporales; Didymosphaeriaceae. The record is from RNAcentral.